CUGCAUCUAUCUGUUGCUCUUCACAGAAUGCAAUUCAAGCUAGCAGAGACAAUACAACUGAUCAAAUUGAAGCUACACAACAAUGGAGCUAAAGAUCGUCAUCCAGCUUUAUCCCAGGUGCCAGAAAUGCCGAUCCAAAGCCCUUUCUAUUGCUGCUGAGGCAAAUGGUGUGAGCAGAGUGGAAAUUGAGCGGGAUAAAGUGGUGGUGAUCGGAGAGGACAUAGAUGCCGCCGGGUUGACCAGCUUAAUCAGAAAGAAGAUCGGCAAUGCCAGUCUAGAGUUUGUUCAGGCUGCGUAAAGUUCAGAAGCGGCACAUUAGUUGAAUUGCAU
This is a long non-coding RNA of Ipomoea nil (Japanese morning glory), 330 nucleotides long. RefSeq lists it as uncharacterized. Lineage: Eukaryota; Viridiplantae; Streptophyta; Magnoliopsida; Solanales; Convolvulaceae. The record is from RefSeq and is a predicted model, not a curated record. The transcript is spliced from 3 exons.